The sequence is a non-coding RNA, 79 nucleotides long. It matches the Rfam family "Alpha-proteobacteria SAM riboswitch aptamer". From Rfam's summary of the family: This family is a riboswitch found predominantly in alpha-proteobacteria that binds S-adenosyl methionine (SAM). This SAM riboswitch is located upstream of the metA and metC genes in Agrobacterium tumefaciens, and other methionine and SAM biosynthesis genes in other alpha-proteobacteria.
GCCUAACACAGCGCCGAUUUGCUUGAUCUGCUUGCGGGCGCCUCAUAAAUCCAGCUAAAGAGGUCCAUAUGGCCGAACU